Lepidothrix coronata (blue-crowned manakin) is the source of this 1313-nucleotide long non-coding RNA. RefSeq lists it as uncharacterized. The record is from RefSeq and is a predicted model, not a curated record. Lineage: Eukaryota; Metazoa; Chordata; Aves; Passeriformes; Pipridae. The transcript is spliced from 4 exons.
GACUAAACUUGAAAGCCAGCUCCUUCUGGUUCAGACAAACAUUAAUCAGUAGAAACAGGAUUCAUUUCAUUCUUCCUAUGAAUCUGAAGAACACUGCACCAUAUGCACACCUUCUCUGUACAGCCCACAGACUGCUUGUGGCAGUGUGGACUCAGUGACUGACCAUUAAGCACUGGGCUACCCCUGGAUGCAUAGUUGCAGAAAAUGGCUGUGAGACGUUCAGCUGUUAUCAGCAAGGCAUAAAAUUCCUGCAGAUUCCAAAAAAUUAUGAACCCAACCCAAAAGUUACCUGUACUCAGGACAAGAUAUUUGGGACCUUUGACAUAACAACUGGAACUUUAGCGCAUACAAAAACCACACAGAUACUUGAGUUCUGACUAUGAAGCUUGCACGUUCAGAUUUCAUAUACUCCAAAUUUCCGUAUAACCCUGGUGAGCUAUAUGAGUAACUCUAAGCAUAAAUAGAUGACUUGAAACAUUAAUUCUGAUCCAAUAAUUAUAUAAGUAUUUUAUCUAAAAUAUACCGGAAGAGAUCAGGAGACUUCCACAUGAUAUAAUUUCUUAUUGUGCUGAGGGAGAUGUGGGUCUAAUUCAGGUAAGGAACAGAACUGAAUCUGAGUCUCCUCUGGGUUUUCCCCUCCCAUAUAACCAUUACAGGGUUAAGUAAAUAUGUGGCAUCACUACUUCCAUGCUAAUAUGGGUAAGUGACAAGUGGUUUUGGCAGCUAACAACCAUACUGAAUACUGAAUACUGAAUUUGGCUUAGCAUAAGAGACUGUUUCUCAGUAUUUAGAAAUGGCUUUUUUAGCUUGCUGGCUAUUGUGAGCUUAGAUGCUCAACUGAAUAUGAAUUCUGCUAAAAGUUCAAUACCACAGCUAUUAGAAUUGGUACAUCUCCUUCAUUUAUUCCCUCACCAGUUUUAGAAAAAACACCUCAAGUAUCCCCACUUACCCCAGAAAAACAUCAGACACACAUAUCAUCAGAUCAAUAAUAGAUUUAUUUUCCUUCUCCAAGAGGGAUCAACAGAAGACUGCCCAACAGAUAUCCCUAAACAGCUAGUUAAAUGAUACACUUCUGUUUACAUUCCUUUUUUCUCCCUUUUUAACUUCUCAAUUUUUUCCUUUUACCACCCUCAUCCACUCCCAAAUAAACAGGCUGUUCCUACUUACUUUUUCCUGUUGUCCCUAAUUUUGCUCCUUUAUACCUCUUCAGUGUUUGUGAUAUGUUUGCACUGGUAAUUUCUAGCUCCAUCAGCAAUUCCUUUAAGUUAGUGACCCCUUUUUGUUAUCAAUCAGUUCUCAUUUCUGCUACUUCU